RNAcentral lists this long non-coding RNA (1485 nucleotides) under Panicum hallii. RNAcentral describes it as "long non-coding RNA (PHAL_LNC000374)". The record is from RNAcentral. Lineage: Eukaryota; Viridiplantae; Streptophyta; Magnoliopsida; Poales; Poaceae.
UACUCGAGUUAAGACUGCACUAGGGCGGCAGAACGAAGCAGCUAUUGGGGCGCGCCGCGGGCGACCAUGUCGGAGAAAGGCCCAAGCGCAAGCGAGGAGACAAAAGGGAGUAGAGGAGGCGGAGGUGCGCGUGGGUGGGGGCGAUCGCAAGGCGGCGCGGGCUGGGUGCUGAACGUGUCGGGGCCGGGGAGGCUAUGCGCCACCGCCGCCGCUUGCCGAAGCCUCCCGCCGGCACUGGAGACGAAGCGCGCGAUUGCGAGUUUGCGAUCCACCAGCUAGCUGGCCGGCCACCCACGGCCCACCUUGGCUCAGCCCCGCCGCUACAAGAUUUUGUUGGACUGGGCCGAUUGGAUCGGCCCAAACGGCAGCAGAAUGAGGCCUUUGUUUCGUUGAUGAUUGUUCUCGGAACGUUUGGCUUGGAACUCCUCUACCAUGCAGGCAUGCAGCAUGAAACCUGUGCUGCAAUUCAGCACCUGGGAAGAACACCAUGCAGUGCUUCUGACAUUUUAUCCACUCAUCUAAUCAAUUGGCUCCAAGCGGGGUACGCUUGCUUCAGAUGCCUAAACAAAGAUGUGGGCAGGGAUGAACCCUCUCAAGCACCAUGGAACUGGACUCCACUGCACUCUUCGCAAACAGAGAAAUGCAGAGGCACCUUUUUUUUACGACAGUGAGACUGCAUGAAACAGAAGAUCAAUAAGUCAAAUCUCGUGAAAACAAACAAACAUGCGACGGCUUCAAGCCUAAACAUAUCCAAAGAUGAAAUGGUCGAUUAAACAUGAUUAUCCUUCGAGUCUGCUGCCGCCUGAUCUGUCCCAAGUUUCCAAGCCAAUCCUUUGUUGCUUAUUGUUUCAUCCAGUUUGCUGUUGCGAGGAAGGCCUCGAACUAUAGUAACUCCUCGAGAAGGCUAGGCAUGCCUUCACAUUUAUCAGAUGCGAAGACACAAAGCAAGAAUCGUCUGACAUGGAUGAGGUUCAAAACUGGAGACGACUUUUCCAGAUUUAACAAACCUACAACAAACCAAUAAACGUCACCUUCUGCGGUUUCAGAGAAGCUUCUUAAGCAGUCAGAUUUUGAUUUCUGCAUAUUAGAUCGUUCUCAACUUUGAACAGUAAAACAUUAUACAGCUAAGUCCAGUCAAAGUCUUUAGCUUAAUGCUAAGCUCGCCUACGUUAGUUAAGAACCGAUCGUCGAAACUAACAACAGAUAGAUCAGCAGCAUACAUUAUCUGAAAGGCAAUUCUGAGCUACAACUACUUUAGAUAAUGUAAGAUAUCCUAGUCUAAUAUGCAUAAUCACCUCAUAACCCACAACUACUUCCAUAAAACCUAGGAUCUUGCCCGGUUAGUAAUGCAUAAUCACAUCUGCGCACUGGAUUAGCUAGGUAAUUAGAAAGAAAGUGCCUUAACAGGAGGCCACCAUACCUCCUGGCCAUGGAAGAAGCAUUUGUCCUCCUGAUGCUCAUCACCUUCCCGGUGAUAGUGUUAGC